Molecule: transfer RNA, 71 nt
Filed under: Patescibacteria group bacterium
Lineage: Bacteria
Description: tRNA-Gln
Rfam family: tRNA
About the family: Transfer RNA (tRNA) molecules are approximately 80 nucleotides in length. Their secondary structure includes four short double-helical elements and three loops (D, anti-codon, and T loops).
Source: RNAcentral
UGCCGGAUCGUCUAAUGGUAGGACACUGGUUUUUGGUACCAGCGAUCGGGGUUCGAGUCCCUGUCCGGCAA